This 253-nucleotide ribosomal RNA is filed under the name uncultured bacterium. Its description in RNAcentral is "partial 16S ribosomal RNA". It matches the Rfam family "Bacterial small subunit ribosomal RNA", at positions 524 to 776 of the family's 1533-position model. The record is from RNAcentral.
CACGUAGGGCGCAAGCGUUGUCCGGAAUUAUUGGGCGUAAAGAGCUCGUAGGCGGUCUGUUGCGUCCGCUGUGAAAACUCGGGGCUUAACCCCGAGCCUGCAGUGGAUACGGGCAGACUAGAGGUAGGUAGGGGAGAAUGGAAUUCCUGGUGUAGCGGUGGAAUGCGCAGAUAUCAGGAGGAACACCAAUAGCGAAGGCAGCUCGCUGGGACGGUACUGACGCUAAGGCGCGAAAGCGUGGGGAGCGAACAGG